Long non-coding RNA from Canis lupus familiaris (dog), 631 nucleotides. RefSeq lists it as uncharacterized. The record is from RefSeq and is a predicted model, not a curated record. Lineage: Eukaryota; Metazoa; Chordata; Mammalia; Carnivora; Canidae. The transcript has 4 exons.
UAAAGACCCCACGGUUACUAUGGCUAAGGAGCAUGGCUAAUCGUGCCCAUCAUAAGUGAUCUCAGGAAAAUCAGCAGCGAAAUAGGAAAACUGAUGCCAUCAUCAAAAUAUAAUAACACGUCUGAUGGAGCUCUCAAUUUCAAAGCCAACAUGUACACAAGACAGUAACAGGUCUUCUACAUCGGAUAAUGUUGUCAAAAAUACAGGACUGUAGGUAUUGGAUUGUGAUGAAGCUCAAAUAAGUCCAUGUCUGAUGAUCUCUGUACUGAACAGCUACCUCUUCAAAGUUACCUAGUUAGAAGAAUGGGUCCCUUUAAAUCACCAAGAUGCUCACAGCUCUAUCAAAGACUUCAUGGAUUAUGUUCAAGGUUCUUGAGGAUGGGCUGAACCUGACUCUCCAUCCACUGCUUUCUCUGCAUGUCACUAGAGACUGGCCCUAGACUAUUUAGGGACUAGGCCUUUAAUCACAAGAUUACCUGAAAGCCGACUCAAGGUUAACAUAUGGGGUAGCCAACAGUCACAUGAAUGUGGCUCUCCCCUUCCAAAAAUGUAACAUGUGGCUUUAAUUUUAUUUAAUUUAUUUAUUCUUUCAAUUUAUUUAAAAAAAAUCUUUGCCCAUUGCCUAAGCCUC